Molecule: transfer RNA, 95 nt
Filed under: Trametes sanguinea
Lineage: Eukaryota; Fungi; Basidiomycota; Agaricomycetes; Polyporales; Polyporaceae
Description: tRNA-Leu
Rfam family: tRNA
About the family: Transfer RNA (tRNA) molecules are approximately 80 nucleotides in length. Their secondary structure includes four short double-helical elements and three loops (D, anti-codon, and T loops).
Source: RNAcentral
GGCAGUGUAGCCAAGUGGUUACGGCGUCACGUUUAGGUCUCUUAGACUUCCACCGUGAUGGGUUUCCCGCGCGAGUUCGAAUCUCGUCACUGUCA